Molecule: non-coding RNA, 148 nt
Filed under: Pan paniscus (pygmy chimpanzee)
Lineage: Eukaryota; Metazoa; Chordata; Mammalia; Primates; Hominidae
Also listed under: 1 other name
Source: Rfam by way of RNAcentral
GCCAGGCGUGGUGGUGCGCACCUGUAAUCCCAGCUACUCAGGAGGCUGAGGCAGGAGAAUUGCUUGAACCCAGGAGGCAGAGGUUGCAGUGAGCCAAGAUUGCUCCACUGCAAUCCAGCCUGAGUGACAGAGCGAGACUCAGUCUCAA